UUCGUGGGGGGCGAAAAGAGGACGAGAGGAGGCGAGAGGCGGCAUUGAAGGCUCCAUCAUCAGGGCGCGAGAGACUGCGCAGCCUCCGCACCCAGGAAUGAGGGCGCCUUCUUGGCCGCUGAACGCGUCCUCAUCGCUCACCCUUUUGCGGGACUAGAAGUCCCCAAGAUGGAUACAAAGAACGAGAGCUGCCUGGAGAUUCUCCUCAUGCCACUGAGGGCGUGUAGUCCCACGUAUAGAUCCGAUCACCUGUUUGUCACACCUGGAACCGGAAGGAUGCUCUAUGUCCAUGAGCACAUGUGGUGGCUGUUGGAGAAGAAGAAGGAGGAGGAGGAGGGGACUCCACGCUUGCGGCAGAUGGACAUCUUGUACGAAUACGUGAAGGAGCACACACACUCCUGUGGACUGUGAUGGCAAAGAAAAGAGCCUGUUCCUGUCUUUGGUUAUCUAGCUGUAUGAGUGUUAAUCAUCCAUCAUAAAGCUAGAUAACCGAAAGUAGGAAUGACCUUCAAACCUUCAGGAGACAAGAAGGCAGAAGCAACAUCAGAGGAUGUGCUGCUGGCUUGUAAGGAAUAGAAGCAGCUGAUGCCACCCUGUUGCGGACUAAGUGUCCCAUUUGACUUUUCAUCUGUCACGAGUAUGAAGCACAAGAGACUUCCUUUGCUCAUACCUUUCCCAUAAAUGAAUGAAAUCCCAAUUUGAAAUUUGAAUGUUAAUUUCAUGUCAAUGUAUUAAAAGACAGUUCAAAUAAAUACUUAUGUUUUCAAUUAACGUAUGGUUUGCAAUCCUUAUAUCGGCGUUAAAAUAAAUUGAUGUAAGACUGCUAAUAAUUUUGGGAGAUCCAUAUGUUCUGCUCUUGGAAAUAAAGAAUUGUAACUAGUAUUUAUUGUGACCAGAAAAAAAUGACUGGGUCUAUUUGA
This is a long non-coding RNA of Syngnathus acus (greater pipefish), 920 nucleotides long. RefSeq lists it as uncharacterized. Lineage: Eukaryota; Metazoa; Chordata; Actinopteri; Syngnathiformes; Syngnathidae. The record is from RefSeq and is a predicted model, not a curated record. The transcript has 3 exons.